GCGAGAGUGGCUGGAGCAGCACAAGGACAAGGACGAGGACAUCUACCGGAGCCGGCUCCCCCACUACUUCCCCGUGGCCUGAGGCUCCCGCAGCCCACCCUGACCGGGACCGACCUGCCUUCGGGACCCCGCUCCCAGCUCUGAGAGGUCGCCAAAGCCUGCAGCCUGGCCUGGGCCUGGCCACCCCUUCUUUCCGUCCGAGCCCCGCCCCUGAGGAGCCUAAUAAAGAU
RNAcentral lists this small RNA (230 nucleotides) under Pongo abelii (Sumatran orangutan). RNAcentral's name for it is "processed transcript". Lineage: Eukaryota; Metazoa; Chordata; Mammalia; Primates; Hominidae. The record is from RNAcentral.